This 1074-nucleotide ribosomal RNA is filed under the name Triticum aestivum (bread wheat). RNAcentral's name for it is "partial small subunit ribosomal RNA". Lineage: Eukaryota; Viridiplantae; Streptophyta; Magnoliopsida; Poales; Poaceae. The record is from RNAcentral.
AUGGCUGUUGCCGCCGAGGGCACGAGCAGGCGGAGGAUCCUCGACUACCUCAACGACGGCGAGGAGUUCGGGGUCGCGGGGCCGCCCUCCUCCGCCGCCGCCACGCCCAGGCCCAGGUCGCUCAUGCCCAGGUUCCGCUGGGCGCGGCUCGCCAGGCUCGGCGGCAAAGCGCGGCCGCCGAAGCCGGUGCUCGAGGAGGAGAUCGUCGCCGCGGACGACGAGGGCCAGCUCAGGGACGCCUCGGGCGCCUCUGCCUCAUCAGCACCAUGCGCGGCGCCGCCCGGCGACGGCGAGACGACGAGGCCGUCGGACCUGAGCGUGGGGCUGAGCCUGGUGUUCCUGCUGGCCAAGACGUCCGACGAGUUCAACAAGAUGGCCAGGGUGCGGGCCGAGAUGGAGGCGCUCAUCAGGGACUUCAAAGGCCAGCAGGCCAUGGAGACGACGGCCAACACCGGCGCCGACGACGAACCCCGCAACCCCGAGUCCGCCGCGUCGAGCUGCCUCACGGACGGGAACGAGCCGCAGGCCGCGACCGCGCGCUGCGAGGACCAUCGGCACCAGGUCGCCUCCUCCUCCGGCGCGGAGAUGGAGGCGGCGAGCCGCAGGAGGAUGGACGUGCUGGAGGAGGAGUUCCACGCGGAGCUCCAGCGCGUUCGCGCCGGCUACGGCCCGGACACGCCGCCGUUUUCGACGGGGGAGGAGCGCGACGAGGGCGGAGCAGAGCCGUCGGACGACGACGACGACAUUGCCGACUGCCGACAGGGAUUCGAGAGCGACCUCGGCGACGACGACGAUCAACAUCACCACGUUUACGACGAGGAGGAGGAGGACGAGGACGACGACGACGACCCUGAUCGGUACCACGGCGUGUCGGCCGUGGAGCUGGAGAGGAGGCUGCACGAGCUGCUCCACCAGAGGAACCAGGAGCGGAUCGAGGAGCUGGAGGCGGCGCUGCGGCGCGCCGAGAAGCGGCUCUUCGACAAGGAGAUGGAGGCGUCCCUCUGGAAGGACACCGCCAAAAUGGCCUUCCGCCACGACCACCACGACGACCACGACGACGACGACUCGCCGUAA